AUUGAACGCUGGCGGCAGGCCUAACACAUGCAAGUCGAACGGUAACAGGGAUCAGCUUGCUGAUUCGCUGACGAGUGGCGGACGGGUGAGUAAUGUCUGGGAAACUGCCUGAUGGAGGGGGAUAACUACUGGAAACGGUAGCUAAUACCGCAUGACGUCGCAAGACCAAAGAGGGGGACCUUCGGGCCUCUUGCCAUCGGAUGUGCCCAGAUGGGAUUAGCUAGUAGGUGGGGUAACGGCUCACCUAGGCGACGAUCCCUAGCUGGUCUGAGAGGAUGACCAGCCACACUGGAACUGAGACACGGUCCAGACUCCUACGGGAGGCAGCAGUGGGGAAUAUUGCACAAUGGGCGCAAGCCUGAUGCAGCCAUGCCGCGUGUAUGAAGAAGGCCUUCGGGUUGUAAAGUACUUUCAGCGGGGAGGAAGGGAGUAAAGUUAAUACCUUUGCUCAUUGACGUUACCCGCAGAAGAAGCACCGGCUAACUCCGUG
RNAcentral lists this ribosomal RNA (490 nucleotides) under uncultured bacterium. RNAcentral's name for it is "partial 16S ribosomal RNA". It matches the Rfam family "Bacterial small subunit ribosomal RNA", at positions 30 to 507 of the family's 1533-position model. The record is from RNAcentral.